This 130-nucleotide small nucleolar RNA is filed under the name Dasypus novemcinctus (nine-banded armadillo). RNAcentral's name for it is "Small nucleolar RNA SNORA38 (ENSDNOG00000027896.2)". It matches the Rfam family "Small nucleolar RNA SNORA38". From Rfam's summary of the family: ACA38 is a member of the H/ACA class of snoRNA that guide the sites of modification of uridines to pseudouridines. Lineage: Eukaryota; Metazoa; Chordata; Mammalia; Cingulata; Dasypodidae. The record is from RNAcentral.
CCCUCCUACAAAGGUGUGUCUGUGGUUCCUGUUCUUGGACACAGAAGAAUUGGAAGCAAAGAGAUGGGGACCUAGAGAAAUCUGGAGCCAGCUUGCUCCCCGCAGGCUCAAGAUCAACCUGCCCUCCCCU